This 1435-nucleotide ribosomal RNA is filed under the name uncultured bacterium. RNAcentral's name for it is "bacterial SSU rRNA". It matches the Rfam family "Bacterial small subunit ribosomal RNA". The record is from RNAcentral.
GACGAACGCUGUUUGGCACGCUUAACACAUGCAAGUCGAACGAGAGAAGAGAAGCUUGCUUUUCUGAUCUAGUGGCGGACGGGUGAGUAACACGUGAGCAAUCUGCCUUUCAGAGGGGGAUACCGAUUGGAAACGAUCGUUAAUACCGCAUAAUAUAAUUGAACCGCAUGAUUUGAUUAUCAAAGAUUUAUCGCUGAAAGAUGAGCUCGCGUCUGAUUAGCUAGUUGGUAAGGUAACGGCUUACCAAGGCGACGAUCAGUAGCCGGACUGAGAGGUUGAUCGGCCACAUUGGGACUGAGACACGGCCCAGACUCCUACGGGAGGCAGCAGUGGGGAAUAUUGCACAAUGGAGGAAACUCUGAUGCAGCGAUGCCGCGUGAGGGAAGAAGGUUUUAGGAUUGUAAACCUCUGUCUUCAGGGACGAAAAAAGACGGUACCUGAGGAGGAAGCUCCGGCUAACUACGUGCCAGCAGCCGCGGUAAUACGUAGGGAGCGAGCGUUGUCCGGAAUUACUGGGUGUAAAGGGAGCGUAGGCGGGAUCGCAAGUCAGAUGUGAAAACUAUGGGCUUAACCCAUAAACUGCAUUUGAAACUGUGGUUCUUGAGUGAAGUAGAGGUAAGCGGAAUGCCUAGUGUAGCGGUGAAAUGCGUAGAUAUUAGGAGGAACAUCAGUGGCGAAGGCGGCUUACUGGGCUUUAACUGACGCUGAGGCUCGAAAGCGUGGGAAGCAAACAGGAUUAGAUACCCUGGUAGUCCACGCCGUAAACGAUGAUUACUAGGUGUGGGGGGACUGACCCCUUCCGUGCCGCAGCAAACGCAAUAAGUAAUCCACCUGGGGAGUACGACCGCAAGGUUGUAACUCAAAGGAAUUGACGGGGGCCCGCACAAGCAGUGGAGUAUGUGGAUUAAUUCGAAGCAACGCGAAGAACCUUACCAGGUCUUGACAUCGUAUGCAUAGCUCAGAGAUGAGUGAAAUCUCUUCGGAGACAUAUAGACAGGUGGUGCAUGGUUGUCGUCAGCUCGUGUCGUGAGAUGUUGGGUUAAGUCCCGCAACGAGCGCAACCCUUACUGUUAGUUGCUACGCAAGAGCACUCUAGCAGGACUGCCGUUGACAAAACGGAGGAAGGUGGGGAUGACGUCAAAUCAUCAUGCCCCUUAUGACCUGGGCCUCACACGUACUACAAUGGCUGUCAACAGAGGGAAGCAAAGCCGCGAGGUGGAGCGAACCCCUAAAAGCAGUCUUAGUUCGGAUUGUAGGCUGCAACCCGCCUACAUGAAGUCGGAAUUGCUAGUAAUCGCAGAUCAGCAUGCUGCGGUGAAUACGUUCCCGGGCCUUGUACACACCGCCCGUCACGCCAUGGGAGUCGGUAACACCCGAAGCCUGUAGUCUAACCGCAAGGAGGACGCAGUCGAAGGUGGGAUUGAUGACUGGGGUG